CAGCCGCCGCGGGAAUACGUAGGGUGCGAGCGUUAAUCGGAAUUACUGGGCGUAAAGCGUGCGCAGGCGGUUGUGUAAGACAGGUGUGAAAUCCCCGGGCUCAACCUGGGAACUGCAUUUGUGACUGGCAAGCUAGAGUGUGGCAGAGGGGGGUGGAAUUCCGCGUGUAGCAGUGAAAUGCGUAGAUAUGCGGAGGAACACCGAUGGCGAAGGCAGCCCCCUGGGCCAACACUGACGCUCAUGCACGGAAGCGUGGGGAGCAAACAGGAUUAGAUACCCGAGUAGUCCCUGUCUCUUAUAC
RNAcentral lists this ribosomal RNA (301 nucleotides) under uncultured bacterium. RNAcentral describes it as "partial 16S ribosomal RNA". It matches the Rfam family "Bacterial small subunit ribosomal RNA", at positions 509 to 807 of the family's 1533-position model. The record is from RNAcentral.